This 450-nucleotide ribosomal RNA is filed under the name uncultured bacterium. RNAcentral's name for it is "partial 16S ribosomal RNA". It matches the Rfam family "Bacterial small subunit ribosomal RNA", at positions 354 to 796 of the family's 1533-position model. The record is from RNAcentral.
GUGGGGAAUAUUGGACAAUGGGCGAAAGCCUGAUCCAGCCAUGCCGCGUGUGUGAAGAAGGUCUUCGGAUUGUAAAGCACUUUAAGUUGGGAGGAAGGGUAGUAACCUAAUACGUUGCUACUUUGACGUUACCGACAGAAUAAGCACCGGCUAACUUCGUGCCAGCAGCCGCGGUAAUACGAAGGGUGCAAGCGUUAAUCGGAAUUACUGGGCGUAAAGCGCGCGUAGGUGGGUCAGUAAGUUGGAAGUGAAAUCCCCGGGCUCAACCUGGGAACUGCUUUCAAAACUGCUGAGCUAGAGUACGGUAGAGGGUGGUGGAAUUUCCUGUGUAGCGGUGAAAUGCGUAGAUAUAGGAAGGAACACCAGUGGCGAAGGCGACCACCUGGACUGAUACUGACACUGAGGUGCGAAAGCGUGGGGAGCAAACAGGAUUAGAUACCCCGGUAGUCC